AAUAAAGAGAUGGAGCCUGAGAGUGAGAGAGGUGGUUCAUCCUCUGUUCCUUCCCCCAGGCUGGCAUCUGCCUUGUCCCUGUGCUACAUUCCUUCAUUCUUCAAUCCAUCCUAUAAAGUCCAACAUUGCACUGGGGAUGUGAGACUCAGGUGGGCACACCCACAGUACCAGGGACUACCACCCCUUGUGAGCAGUGGCAAGAGCAUCCCUACCUUCCACGGUACCCAAACAUAAGGAAGAGGAUGCAGAAUAUGAUGCAUGUGACGCCGAUGUGGAUCCCGAUGAUGAUGCCGGUCGUGGAGGUUUUAUUGUUCUGCUCGUCCUUCAUGCAGUCACAGGGAGGAUUCAGCACUGCCAGGAAAAGGUGGAUAGGCUUAACUCUCCCAUCAGUUCCCCAACCUUUGGCACCAUCCAGAAGGUGCAAAGCAUGAAGUGCUGCAGUCUCUGCCCUGCCCAGGGCUCUGCUCCAGUACUGGCACCAGGAAGGAGAAAAGAUUUUGGGCACCAGGCACCAAGCUCAGCUCACCCCACAGCAAAAUCAUCCAGCAGAACAGCUCUACUUCCCCAGCAGCUUCCAGGCUUUGAGGGCAAAAAUCCCCACUCUGAGAAGUUGGACCCUUGCUUAAAGCAUCACUUUUCCAGCCACGGGUGAAAACACCACAGAAAGGGAAAUUAUCACAUUAUCCCAUGGACAAAGAAACACUGAUGUGGGCCAUCCUGAUUUGUGAAGAGUUGGCUUUAUUUUAUGGUUGCAGAGCCUUACAUUUAAUAAAAACCACAAGAAUAUCUCUCCUUCAAAAUAUGGAUU
Molecule: long non-coding RNA, 808 nt
Organism: Vidua chalybeata
Lineage: Eukaryota; Metazoa; Chordata; Aves; Passeriformes; Viduidae
Exons: 3
Source: RefSeq, a predicted model, not a curated record